GGCUUCUGACUUUUUUUGCAUGGCAUUAUUCAAGAACAUAAACAGGUCUACACAGUGAUAACUAACUAUUUGAGUGCUACAUGUGUGUGGACAAUUGAGACACGGGUAUUUUCUGUCAACCAAAGCAAUAGUCCUGACGGUUAAUCAAUUAAGCAACUAUUCUAACAGAGGAAAAUAGCCCAGCUUACGCGACCUACGUGACUGCACAUAUCAGUAUUCUCUGAGAGAUUGUGGCGUCAGCUUGACAGGAUAAAAAACUACUGAUAUCGGCAACCUCAAAAGGAAAGACACGGAUCUGAACACAACCAAAAACAGCUUGCUACGUGUGCUUUUGCCAUUUCAAUUGCUGAGGUGUAUUCCAACCAGCUUUAACUGAACGCACUGACAGGUCCCCAGGCCAAAGGUGCAUUAACAGAGCGCUGCCCCGACCCAGGGUCCUACAGACAUGAUUAUCAGACUGGGCAGACUGACCCCUGGAUACUUCCGUCUUCUCCAAAGACAGGUGGCCGGGGAGGUGCAGACCCAGCCACAUGAUCGUGUGGUCAACCAGAUAGCCAUGAUGCUGGCCAUCAUGGGCCUGAGCCUGUCCUACUACAGUGCCAAGCAGAUGACUGAGAAGGUCCGGAGGCUCCAGCCGGGGCCCGCACACUGAAGAGACCCGAGAGCCCUGGACUCCUUUGAACCCGGAGGGAGGACAAAUCAACACAUGUUUUUGAGCGAGGAGAUGAGAAAACAACUCAAUGAUAGCGUUGUUGUCCAGUACAGUACCUUUUCACACCCUUUCAUUCAUUAUGUUUAGACACUGGGAUCACUCAGGACCCAAAGGGUGUUUGGAGUUCUAUUGUUCAUGUUAUCUUGUGCAUUAAUGUUUGGAGGACCAUGUGGGAGCGGGUGGGGUGGUUGAGAGAACCCCACCUCAGGUUUUGUGCUCUGGAUAAGUCUUUUUUGUGAGCUGGUAAACACAUCCAUCUGCUGUGGUCAGACUGAGCCCCAGCUUCAGUUGUUGUCAAGAUGCAGUCAGCACUGAGCUGGAAGGGGUGCGGGGGACAUAAAUACUGGAGAUUUCACCAGUGGGGUAAAUUAACUUAAAAGUAAUGCCUUUGAAAGGGGAAGAUGCAUCUCUAACAUAGUUAUCUGGUUAUGGCUAGAGGGCAGCCUCUAGUCAGGAGAAAGAAACUUGUUAGCUUUUGAAAUUUCUUGAAUACUUUUUUGCAAUUGACAUUUUGCCGCGCGAACUAGCUGUGGGUUAGACAUGUCUGGUGAGUUUCACAUGUAUUAUCUGUUAAAUGUCGCAAUCGUGCAGUACUGUUAAAACACAGUAUUUUAAUGUUUUAUGAACUAUGAGAGAAAGGGGACUUGAUAUAAAUCACAACCAUUAGUUUUUCUCUUACACAAUGUUUCCACACUUGUCAAUGAAGACUUGUUAAAGGUUUGUGGACUUCUUGAAGUACCUUUUUUAUAUCUGGAAUAACUUGUAGGUAGUAUUACAAAUAUUCUAACUUCAGUAAAUGUAGCAUGGGUUUGCAACUUUUGAUCUCUACACAACUCAAGAUUGCAUCUGUAACAUUUAAAUGUGUCUUAUAGAAUGAUAACAAAGAAUGUACUGUGAUGUUUUAUCAUUAAUGAUGAAAUAAAGCUGUGACUAUUUUUGAAUGAUGAAA
Long non-coding RNA from Esox lucius (northern pike), 1661 nucleotides. RefSeq lists it as uncharacterized. The transcript is spliced from 4 exons. Lineage: Eukaryota; Metazoa; Chordata; Actinopteri; Esociformes; Esocidae. The record is from RefSeq and is a predicted model, not a curated record.